RNAcentral lists this ribosomal RNA (427 nucleotides) under uncultured bacterium. Its description in RNAcentral is "partial 16S ribosomal RNA". It matches the Rfam family "Bacterial small subunit ribosomal RNA", at positions 355 to 774 of the family's 1533-position model. The record is from RNAcentral.
UGGGGAAUAUUGGACAACGGGCGAAAGCCUGAUCCAGCCAUGCCGCGUGUGUGAAGAAGGUCUUCGGAUUGUAAAGCACUUUAAGUUGGGAGGAAGGGCAUUAACCUAAUACGUUAGUGUUUUGACGUUACCGACAGAAUAAGCACCGGCUAACUCUGUGCCAGCAGCCGCGGUAAUACAGAGGGUGCAAGCGUUAAUCGGAAUUACUAGGCGUAAAGCGCGCGUAGGUGGUUUGUUAAGUUGGAUGUGAAAUCCCCGGGCUCAACCUGGGAACUGCAUUCAAAACUGACUGACUAGAGUAUGGUAGAGGGUGGUGGAAUUUCCUGUGUAGCGGUGAAAUGCGUAGAUAUAGGAAGGAACACCAGUGGCGAAGGCGACCACCUGGACUAAUACUGACACUGAGGUGCGAAAGCGUGGGGAGCAAACA